UACGUAGGGGGCAAGCGUUGUCCGGAUUUAUUGGGCGUAAAGAGCGUGUAGGCGGCUGGGUAGGUCCGUUGUGAAAACUCGAGCUCAACCUCGAGACGCCGAUGGAAACCCCCCAGCUAGAGUCCGGAAGAGGAGAGUGGAAUUCCUGGUGUAGCGGUGAAAUGCGCAGAUAUCAGGAAGAACACCCGUGGCUAAGGCGGCUCUCUAGUACGGUACUGACGCUGAGACGCGAAAGCGUGGGGAGCGAACAGGG
This 253-nucleotide ribosomal RNA is filed under the name uncultured bacterium. Its description in RNAcentral is "partial 16S ribosomal RNA". It matches the Rfam family "Bacterial small subunit ribosomal RNA", at positions 524 to 777 of the family's 1533-position model. The record is from RNAcentral.